UGGAAAACACAAUUAUAAUCUCUGUUAUACUCAAACUCUUUCUCAAAGUCUUUUCAUUAGGUUUUAUUACUCUCUUUCUAUCUACCUCUAUCUUUUUGCUAUUUCUCUCUCAAACCUCUCUUCCCUUUUCUCUGACUUUUUUUCUUUUUCAAUACUCUUCUGUUUUCAAUCUUCUUCCUCACAACUAGGGACAUCAUCUUCUUCAUCACUUCAUUCAUCAUCAAUGGAUUGCUAUUCAUUACGCUUUAUCAAGGAUUUAUCUUCUUAUUCAUCUUUCAGAUCUGAAACGGCUUCUGACGAGACCAUCAAAUCUGAAAUUAAAACCACAAAAAUCAUCAGAUUUGAAAUCAAAACCAAUGGAUCUGCAUUGUUCUACAUCAAUGAGGCAUGACAUAUCUAUUUCCUCAAUGAGUUUUUCUCUUAACUACUUUUUCACUAUUUAUUUGCACAAGAAUUAAGGAGAGAGACUGUAUUUACCCUUCAAUUGAGUCUUUCCAAUGCACCAUGUCCAAUGGAACCAUUAAUGCAGCAACCUACUCAUUAUUUUUCUGAAUAGCCACAUAUGGAAACUUGUCAAUAAUGUGACAUUACUGAAUUUUUAUUUUUAUUUUAUUUGAAAAAUAUGGAAUAUUAAUCAUUUAUUUUUGUUUACAAAAUAUAAUACUAUUAUUAAUAGACCUAUCUUAGUAAUAUUUAGAGUUUGAUGUGAUAUCUCUCAUUUUUUUUAAGAA
This is a long non-coding RNA of Vicia villosa (hairy vetch), 731 nucleotides long. RefSeq lists it as uncharacterized. The transcript has 4 exons. The record is from RefSeq and is a predicted model, not a curated record. NCBI's taxonomy places the organism in Eukaryota, Viridiplantae, Streptophyta, Magnoliopsida, Fabales, Fabaceae.